This 253-nucleotide ribosomal RNA is filed under the name uncultured bacterium. RNAcentral's name for it is "partial 16S ribosomal RNA". It matches the Rfam family "Bacterial small subunit ribosomal RNA", at positions 524 to 776 of the family's 1533-position model. The record is from RNAcentral.
UACGUAGGGACCAAGCGUUGUCCGGAAUCAUUGGGCGUAAAGAGCGUGUAGGCGGCUUGUUAAGUCUUGCGUGAAAUCUCGGGGCUCAACCCCGAGCGGUCGUGAGAAACUGGCAGGCUAGAGUGCGGGAGAGGAGAGUGGAAUUCCUGGUGUAGCGGUGAAAUGCGCAGAUAUCAGGAGGAACACCGGUGGCGAAGGCGGGUCUCUGGGCAACUACUGAUGCUGAGGAGCGAAAGCGUGGGGAGCGAACAGG